UACAUGCAAGUCGAGCGAACAGAUGAGAAGCUUGCUUCUCUGAUGUUAGCGGCGGACGGGUGAGUAACACGUGGGUAACCUACCUAUAAGACUGGGAUAACUCCGGGAAACCGGGGCUAAUACCGGAUAAUAUUUUGAACCGCAUGGUUCAAUAGUGAAAGACGGUUUCGGCUGUCACUUAUAGAUGGACCCGCGCCGUAUUAGCUAGUUGGUAAGGUAAUGGCUUACCAAGGCGACGAUACGUAGCCGACCUGAGAGGGUGAUCGGCCACACUGGAACUGAGACACGGUCCAGACUCCUACGGGAGGCAGCAGUAGGGAAUCUUCCGCAAUGGGCGAAAGCCUGACGGAGCAACGCCGCGUGAGUGAUGAAGGUCUUCGGAUCGUAAAACUCUGUUGUUAGGGAAGAACAAAUUUGUUAGUAACUGAACAAGUCUUGACGGUACCUAACCAGAAAGCCACGGCUAACUACGUGCCAGCAGCCGCGGUAAUACGUAGGUGGCAAGCGUUAUCCGGAAUUAUUGGGCGUAAAGCGCGCGUAGGCGGUUUCUUAAGUCUGAUGUGAAAGCCCACGGCUCAACCGUGGAGGGUCAUUGGAAACUGGGAAACUUGAGUGCAGAAGAGGAGAGUGGAAUUCCAUGUGUAGCGGUGAAAUGCGCAGAGAUAUGGAGGAACACCAGUGGCGAAGGCGGCUCUCUGGUCUGUAACUGACGCUGAUGUGCGAAAGCGUGGGGAUCAAACAGGAUUAGAUACCCUGGUAGUCCACGCCGUAAACGAUGAGUGCUAAGUGUUAGGGGGUUUCCGCCCCUUAGUGCUGCAGCUAACGCAUUAAGCACUCCGCCUGGGGAGUACGACCGCAAGGUUGAAACUCAAAGGAAUUGACGGGGACCCGCACAAGCGGUGGAGCAUGUGGUUUAAUUCGAAGCAACGCGAAGAACCUUACCAAAUCUUGACAUCCUUUGACCGCUCUAGAGAUAGAGUCUUCCCCUUCGGGGGACAAAGUGACAGGUGGUGCAUGGUUGUCGUCAGCUCGUGUCGUGAGAUGUUGGGUUAAGUCCCGCAACGAGCGCAACCCUUAAGCUUAGUUGCCAUCAUUAAGUUGGGCACUCUAGGUUGACUGCCGGUGACAAACCGGAGGAAGGUGGGGAUGACGUCAAAUCAUCAUGCCCCUUAUGAUUUGGGCUACACACGUGCUACAAUGGAUAAUACAAAGGGCAGCGAAUCCGCGAGGCCAAGCAAAUCCCAUAAAAUUAUUCUCAGUUCGGAUUGUAGUCUGCAACUCGACUACAUGAAGCUGGAAUCGCUAGUAAUCGUAGAUCAGCAUGCUACGGUGAAUACGUUCCCGGGUCUUGUACACACCGCCCGUCACACCACGAGAGUUUGUAACACCCGAAGCCGGUGGAGUAACCUUUUAGGAGCUAGCCGUCGAAGGU
Molecule: ribosomal RNA, 1432 nt
Filed under: Mammaliicoccus sciuri
Lineage: Bacteria; Bacillati; Bacillota; Bacilli; Caryophanales; Staphylococcaceae
Description: bacterial SSU rRNA
Rfam family: Bacterial small subunit ribosomal RNA
Source: RNAcentral